RNAcentral lists this ribosomal RNA (403 nucleotides) under Verrucomicrobiota bacterium. RNAcentral's name for it is "Verrucomicrobia bacterium partial 16S ribosomal RNA". It matches the Rfam family "Bacterial small subunit ribosomal RNA", at positions 355 to 776 of the family's 1533-position model. The record is from RNAcentral. Lineage: Bacteria; Pseudomonadati; Verrucomicrobiota.
UGGGGAAUAUUGCACAAUGGGCGCAAGCCUGAUGCAGCAACGCCGCGUGAACGAUGAAGGUCUUCGGAUCGUAAAGUGCUGUUGCAGGGGAAGAUAAUGACGGUACCCUGUGAGGAAGACCCGGCUAACUACGUGUCAGCAGCCGCGGUAAUACGUAGGGGGUUAGCGUUAUCCGGAUUUACUGGGCGUAAAGGGUGCGUAGGUGGUCUUUCAAGUCGGUGGUUAAAGGCUACGGCUCAACCGUAGUUAGCCUCCGAAACUGGAAUACUUGAGUGCAGGAGAGGAAAUUGUAAUUCCCAGUGUAGCGGUGAAAUGCGUAGAUAUUGGGAGGAACACCAGUAGCGAAGGCGGCUUUCUGGACUGCAACUGACACUGAGGCACGAAAGCGUGGGUAGCAAACAGG